This 344-nucleotide long non-coding RNA is filed under the name Capsicum annuum. Its description in RNAcentral is "long non-coding RNA (CANN_LNC007565)". The record is from RNAcentral. Lineage: Eukaryota; Viridiplantae; Streptophyta; Magnoliopsida; Solanales; Solanaceae.
AAAAUAUAAAUCCUAUUCUAAACUAAAUCUAGACUAAGCUCCAAUGCCUUACCCGAUGCCGCGGGCCUUCAUCACGAUCAUUUUUCGCCAACAUGAUACGUCGGGGCAUUCCCCAGUGAAUAAGUACAUAAGAUCUCGGGGCAUUCCCCGAUAAAAUGAAUACAUUUCUCAAUCUUGUGCGGUAAAAUAGAAAGAAACAACCACCAAAUAUUCACACAUUCAACAAAUCACCAAGAGUCCUAAACUUUGCCUACCCAAAGCCUACGAUUUGCUUACCGAUCCUCAUGCCAAAACAUGAUAUUUAUUCCGAAUCAAACAAAACAAUAAUAAACCUAAAUCAAUCU